GAUGAACGCUGGCGGCGUGCUUAACACAUGCAAGUCGAACGGAAAGGCCCAAGCUUGCUUGUGUACUCGAGUGGCGAACGGGUGCGUAACACGUGGGUGAUCUGCCCUGCACUUCGGGAUAAGCCUGGGAAACUGGGUCUAAUACCGGAUAGGACGAUGGUUUGGAUGCCAUUGUGGAAAGUUUUUUCGGUGUGGGAUGAGCUUGCGGCGUAUCAGCUUGUUGGUGGGGUAAAGGCCUACCAAGGCGUCGACGGGUAGCCGGCCGGCGAGGGGGAACGGGCCUGAUAGAACGGAGAGACACACUGGACCUCGAAGACAGGCCGCAGUAGGAAAUGAGGCAGCAGUGGCGAAUAUUGCACAAAGGGAGCAAGCGUGAGGGAGGAAGGCCGCGGGGGCGAAGACGGCCUUUGGGUUGUAAGAACCUUUGGCUAGGGACGAAGCGUUUUUGUGACGGUACCUAGAGAAGAAGCACCGGCUAACUACGUG
Molecule: ribosomal RNA, 486 nt
Filed under: uncultured bacterium
Lineage: Bacteria
Description: partial 16S ribosomal RNA
Rfam family: Bacterial small subunit ribosomal RNA
Source: RNAcentral